GGGAUUUGAGUGCUUGUAAUUUAGCGGCUAACACAGCCUCUGCCUGUUUCGGCUGGCAGGGACAGCGUGUUUUAGUUUCGCCGAGACCGAUAACUUCAAAUGCUCGCCAAGGACGAAUCUGAGGUUUUACAAAUGAGACACAAACUAUAGCAGACAAGCAACACAAACAUGAGGAUUUUAGGGGAGAGGUGAAGCCUCUGAGGACUUCGACUGUCAGAAGGGAAAACAUACACCAACCUGAAGGAAUGUCUUUGAAGUCUCAAUGAGGAGUUAUUGAUACAUAACACAAAAAGGAAAGGAAACCACAGCCACGAAUGCACAAAGAGCCGAGCUCUGAAGGUAGUAAACCAGACAUACAACAUGGGCUUCACUACAGAUCCAUCAGACUGCUCAACCUCUCCAGGAUGGCAAACACAGAUAUCAUAACCACACACUUUACCGUUCCGGAACAUUUGAAUAGGUUUGUGAGUCAGUUGAGAUAGGGCCACAAAAUUAUAGUCAUUUCCAUAUAGAUGAAACUGAUAAAGUGUCAACCGAGAAGCAAUUCCUUCUCAACACCUUUCCAGCCCAAAACGUGACCUUCCAACUAUGCUUUCUUUACCAGAAACAGUCAACAUGAGGCAUUAGUUUCGUUUGUUUCAUAACGAACCGACAAGGAGGAUGAGACUUCAUUCACCAAACCAGAUAUUAACAGGAAAAUGUAGUGACUGAUCAACGCAAACCAAGACCUAACCUAUUACCUUGGCUAGCCAAGCGACUAGCCAUUACACUUCCUCACCGCAAACAAAGUUCGCUCUAUGUUAGCGAGCUCAUCCGAAACUUCUUCACCUGAGGGGAAACCCUCGUUGAAGCCAAAAAGCAAGAGAGGGGAAACAAAACCUAACACUCCCACCUAAAAAGGAAAUGUCUGUCACGUUCAUCUGUACAUCCACGCCUAGGAGGGCCACACGUGCCGCUUCCUCGGAAAGAACAGACCGCGUUGCGCUCACUCCUACUCGUGGCGCUCCCUUCAACUAUCAGACCAUUUUGUAUUGUGAAGUGUAUUGCAAUAUAGUAAUUGCCAUAUUUCUGAUUGCCGUUUUUUUAGGCAGACAGCCAUCAUUGUAGGACGUCUGUGUGAUGCAUGCCAUAAAAGUCUGGAAAUCUAUUAAUCAUUAAUCAGACUGUGACAUUGACAAUAUCGGUUUCUGAUUAUGUCAUUCAUUCUCGUGUACCAGGAGGUGAGGGAGAUGUCAGCUUCAGGUUAUGUCAUUAAGACACCAGACAUCAAUUGCCGUCAUUAAACCUGUCAAAGAUUGCACAAGCAUGGCCCAAUCUGUCAAACACAAUUGUUCUUGCCAACACAAAGAGCGAUAGACAAAAAGUUGAGAUUUGAAUAGUUGUUACAGUGAUAUUAUUUAAAGGAUAACAACUAUUAUAUAACACACACAGUUGUGAAAUACUCCUUCCUAUUAUUCAGCCACAGACAUUUAUGAAGGCCCAUAAAUCCAGGAUACAGAACAAUACGUGGGGGACAAAUCAAAUCAUCUUCAAUGCCCAACCGAAGUGUUUUCCAGUUGUGCUGAAUAGACAAAUCUCUUAGUAAUCUUUACAAAGGAGCACGUGAGGAAAGCAGAUCCUAAGGGCAGGUAACACCUGGUU
Non-coding RNA from Paramisgurnus dabryanus, 1641 nucleotides. The record is from RefSeq and is a predicted model, not a curated record. NCBI's taxonomy places the organism in Eukaryota, Metazoa, Chordata, Actinopteri, Cypriniformes, Cobitidae.